This 815-nucleotide ribosomal RNA is filed under the name uncultured Planctomycetota bacterium. RNAcentral's name for it is "bacterial SSU rRNA". It matches the Rfam family "Bacterial small subunit ribosomal RNA", at positions 524 to 1332 of the family's 1533-position model. Lineage: Bacteria; Pseudomonadati; Planctomycetota. The record is from RNAcentral.
GACGAGAGGCCCGAGCGUUAAUCAGAAUCACUGGGCUUAAAGGGUGCGUAGGCUGGCUUUCAGGCGUGCCGUGAAAUCCCCCGACUCAACCGGGGAACUGCGGUGCGAACCGUUGGCCUUGAGGGAGGCAGGGGCCGCUAGAACGUUCGGUGGAGCGGUGAAAUGCGUUGAUAUCGAACGGAAUGCCGAUGGUGAAGACGAGCGGCUGGGCCUGCCCUGACGCUGAGGCACGAAAGCGUGGGGAUCAAACAGGAUUAGAUACCCUGGUAGUCCACGCCGUAAACGUUGUGCACUAGGCCGGUGCGGGUUUGACCCCGUGCUGGUCGUAGAGAAAUCGUUAAGUGCACCGCCUGGGGAGUACGGUCGCAAGGCUAAAACUCAAAGGAAUUGACGGGGGCUCACACAAGCGGUGGAGCAUGUUGCUUAAUUCGAAGCAACGCGAAGAACCUUACCUGGGCUUGACAUGCACGGAUUAGCCCGUGGAAACACGGGUGACGCCCUUUGGGUGGAACGUGCACAGGUGCUGCAUGGCUGUCGUCAGCUCGUGCUGUGAAGUGUCGGGUUAAGUCCCUUAACGAGCGCAACCCCUGUCGCUAGUUGCCAGCGCGUCAUGGCGGGGACUCUAGCGAGACUGCCGGUGUCAAACCGGAGGAAGGUGGGGAUGACGUCAAGUCCUCAUGGCCCUUAUGUCCAGGGAUGCAAACGUGCUACAAUGGCGCGUACAGAGCGAUGCGAUGCCGCGAGGCGGAGCAAAUCGCAAAAAGCGCGCCCCAGUUCGGAUCGCAGUCUGCAACUCGACUGCGUGAAGUUGGAAU